This 482-nucleotide ribosomal RNA is filed under the name uncultured bacterium. RNAcentral's name for it is "partial 16S ribosomal RNA". It matches the Rfam family "Bacterial small subunit ribosomal RNA", at positions 28 to 523 of the family's 1533-position model. The record is from RNAcentral.
AGUGAACGUUGGCGGCGUGGAUUAGGCAUGCAAGUCGAGCGAGAACCGUAGCAAUACGGGGACAGCGGCGAAAGGGACAGUAAUGUGUAGGUACCUACCUCCGGGUUCGGGAUAGCUGCGGGAAACUGCAGGUAAUACCGAAUAACGUCUCCAGACCAAAGGUGUGAUUCCACCUGGAGAGGGGCCUGCAUCCUAUUAGCUUGUUGGCGGGGUAACGGCCCACCAAGGCGACGAGGGGUAGCGGGGGUGAGAGCACGACCCGCGUCAUUGGGACUGAGACACUGCCCAGACACCUGCGGGUGGCUGCAGUCGAGGAUCUUCGGCAAUGGGCGCAAGCCUGACCGAGCGACGCCGCGUGCGGGAUGAAGGCCUUCGGGUUGUAAACCGCUGUCGUAGAGGAGGAAGUGCAGGGGGGUUCUCCCCUCUGUUUGACCUAUUCUAGGAGGAAGGACGGGCUAAGUUCGUGCCAGCAGCCGCCGUAA